ACCUCUCUCUGCUUUCUCUUAAAAUCACCAUUUCUGACUUUGCCCGAAAUUGGAAGAGAUUCCGCAGAGAAAAGAGGAAAGGAAAAAGCCACACUCUCACUCCAAAACACAAAUCGCAGUGACUGCUAAUAAAUGGAAAGUGGAAUUCACACGUAUUUCAUUUACCUAAAAAAAUUGACUUACAAAACAAACUAGAAAAGAUCUUAAUGUGGCUCAAGCAAUAGGAUGCAGCCUCUGUAUUUCUGAAGAAUCCUUCCUCUUUUUCAAGACAGAGUGUGACACUCCUCUAUUUUUGAGGUAGCAGAUAUGUUUGAAGAUGGAUUAUUAAAAACUGCUAGUGUUGUCGGCUACUGGUUACAUAUUCUGCCAAAGUGAAAAUAUUUACUCACAUCACAUGGAAAAAUGUAAUGGCAGGAAUCAUGCACAGCUUCCAUAGAAAGAAAUCUUCUGAGUCUCCUAGGUUGAUUGUAGCUGUGCUAUGUGGAAUUUUCAUGGGAUUUCUUAUUGGUUCUUCAAUUCCAAGUAUUUCAAUUUCCAAGGUUGAUCUUUCUCCUCAUCAUGGUCAUGUUGAGGGGAUGAGUUCUAUGUUGUCCACAUACUUUCCUUUGAACUCACAGAAUGCAUCAUUAUUUACUUCUGGAACUGCCAAUUCUCUUCCAGCUUCAGAGAGAAAUAGAACAAAGAUCUGCAUAACAAAAAAUCCACGCGGAGCAGAAUUAUUGGCACCAGGUAUUGUUGUAUCUGAAUCAGAUUUGGAGCUUCGUAGAUUAUAUGGAGAUCCUAGUGAGGACAUUGUGAAGUCAAAGUACCUUUUGGUCUUGACGGUUGGUAUGCGUCAAAUGGACAUUGUCAAUGAUAUAGUAUCCAAGUUUUCAGAGAACUUCUCCGUUCUUAUGUUCCACUAUGAUGGGACAGCCAGUGAGUGGGAUCAGUUUGAGUGGUCUCAACGUGCAAUUCAUGUUAGUGGAAGAAAACAAGCGAAAUGGUGGUAUGCGAAACGGUUUCUUCAUCCUGACAUUGUUGCCCCAUUCGAAUACAUAUUUAUCUGGGACGAAGACUUAGGAGUUGAAAAUUUUAAUGCAGAAGAAUAUCUUAAGCUUGUGAGAAAGCAUAAUUUGGAGAUUUCACAACCAGGGUUGGCAGAAAAUGAUGCUUUGACAUGGUUUAUGACUAGGAGGAGGGUAGAUGUGGAAGUUCACAUGGAAACAGAGGAACGGCCUGGUUGGUGCCAUGAUCGACAUCUGCCUCCAUGUGCAGGGUUUGUUGAAAUCAUGGCUCCAGUUUUCUCUAGAAGGUCAUGGCGUUGUGUUUGGCACAUGAUUCAGAAUGAUUUGAUACAUGGUUGGGGUUUAGAUCUUGCUCUGCAGAAAUGUGUGGAGAUAAGAGGCAAAAUUUCAUUGAUAUCUGCCGUGAAGUCUGAGUCACCACAAGAUUUUCACAAGAAAAAUCAGCCUGAUCAGAGAAGAAAUCAUUGCCCUGAGAAAUCAAGAAUAAGUUGAGUAUGAAAGCCAGACUUGUACUCCUUGAAUGCUUCUGUUCCAUUGGUUCAUGAGAUGAACAUUUCUCUGGAUUCCCUUCUCUUGUUUGUUUAUGUACUCAAGGAAGAUGCUCUCCAUUUAUCUUCGCAAAACCCCUUUUAACAUGAAUGUAAACCAUGUGAUAUUCAAUUACCACUGAAUGUCACGUCGGACCCACUUUGGCAUGGAAAUGCUUUCCACUCUUUAUUCUGAAAGUAACUCCAUAUCACCUGCAGUGAUCAAAAUCUGAUAGGACUUCUUGUGCUACUUUUCUCCUGCAAAUUUUAUUUCCAUGCUAAAUUGAUUACAGUGACCUAGUUGGAUGCUUGGUAUAAAAAUAUCAAAAUACAAAUGGUAUCCGUUUCCUUGUUAAGGAUCUCUCAUUUUGAGCAGGGCGUUCGAAAUUUACACAUGAAUGAAGUCAAGUCUAUGAUUUAUUUGUAGUACCUGUGAAGUUUGUGCAGUCAGUUUUCAAUAUGGCAGCACAUAUACAUAGAUCGCAAAUAUCUGUAUGAUUUGGCUCUUCCAUUUGUAUCAUAUGGUAAGAAAGUACUAUAGUAUGACAUUAUCUGGAUUUUCGAUAUUGCAAAGUUGCAGCCUGCCCAUGAGAAGAUAGGUGUUGUUGAUGCGCAGUGGAUAGUCCACAAGGUCUUGCCUUCACUGGGAGACCAGGGUGACGCGAAAGAUGGA
Amborella trichopoda is the source of this 2207-nucleotide non-coding RNA. Lineage: Eukaryota; Viridiplantae; Streptophyta; Magnoliopsida; Amborellales; Amborellaceae. The record is from RefSeq and is a predicted model, not a curated record.